GGGGGAGCGACUGGGGGAGGAGCGGGAGGCCCUGGAGGAGGGAGGGCUCUAGGGGAGGGGAGGCCCUGAGACCCUUGGGCGAAGGGGCACCCUGGGGUCGGGGAAGGGGUAGGCGCAGGGCCGCUGGGACCCUGGAGGAGGGAGACCCCCGGGGGGGGAGGAUCAGGGCGGGAGGGUCGGUGGGGAGGAGCGGAUCCUGCCUGGAGGACCACGGGGCCCAGGGAAGGGAGAGGAGCCCGGUGGCCGGGGUCGAGGGUUGGGUGGCAGGAGGGUGGUCAGAAGGGGCCUGGGGAGGGGAGUCGGUUGGAUGGGAGGGAGGGGGCAGAGCCCUGCCUUUUAGGGGUCCUGGCAGGGAACUGGCUGAGCUGGCGCCCAGGGCUCCCGGCACAACUGCCCUGGAGAGAGUCGCCGAAGUUAGCCGGACUCGGGAAACCCGGGCUGAGUGUCGCCCUGGCCCAGCCUCUGGGUCCUGACACUGGCUCACGCAGGUCGGGGAGACACGCCCCCAGGCGUCAGUGCCCCACUCCCCUCUGCGGCUGGCGGGCGGGGCUCCAGUCCUCGGCCUCUGGUCAUCCCUGUGUAGAGUGGACCCUGUGCAUUUCUGUAAUGGAAUCUUCAGUUGCAAGUGGUGGAAACCCAGCACGAGCUGGCCCCGGUAAACGGGGCGCCCGUUGGCUGGGGGACAGCAGCGUCUUCCAGUCCCAGACUGACCUGGGCCAGGGGCCAACUUGGGGCUCGCUGGGUGGAGGGGGAGGCAGCCAGGAGAGCUGAGAGUCUGAGACCAGGGGAGGUGGAGGCUGAUGGGCCUCGGGAAGAGGAGUUGACUUGGGGAGAAAUUCUGGACUUCCAGCUCCGAAAUGGGGAGGGGGCUGGGCGCCCCUCUAGGAAACUCCCACGGUCCGGCCCUGCUGUGUCUUCCGGAGGCUCCCAGGGGUCUCGCCUGAGCCCCCGCCCCUCUCCGUAGCCAAGGGGCACACUCACUUUGAGUGGCCAGCAUCUGUGUCCCCCGACCUGCUCCCCCCUAGCUGCAGCUGGAGCAGAAGCCGCCAUGCAAAGGGGGCCACCCGGCGCAGAGAAACCCCUGUGGGCGGCGGGGACCCCAGGCGGGUCUUGGCGAGGGGGCCAGGAAAUCUGCAGCGCCGGGAGGUCUGUGCCGGGACGCGCCUGUUGCUUCGGCUCCUGGAGGUCUUGUCCCCGGCCAGACCUCGGUGGCAGGUGUCUGGGGUCACGGCAGGAACCCGGCCCGAGGGUGGACGGCACAGCUGGGGGAGUCAGGAUGGCUGUGGGGCCCCCCUGACGUCAGCAUCAGCAUGGCUGGGAAGGCAGGGCCUGGCCGUUAACCCCAUCCACCCUGCUCCAGGGCCAGCAAAAGGCAGCCACCGUGCGGCGGCCACGCUCGACCCUUGCUGUCCCCGGCCAGGGCAGGAUGGCGGCUCCCCACUCCCACUGCCCUCACCCCAGACCGGUGCAGCCCCCGUGGCUUGUCCGUCUCGGAGUGCGGAGGGGAGCAGGCGGGAGUCCACACCCUCCGGCUUUCCCGCUCCUCGCGGCCGUCAGUCCUUGUGGGCAGAGCGCGUGGCCGGGAGACGUAGCCAUGGAGACGCGGGCAUCCCCGCGAAGCGGCACCGCCCCACGUGCCUGCAGCCGGCCUGGCGGCGGGGGCCGAGGCCAGACGACCCCACAGAGCCCCCCGCGCUGGGGCGAGCAGCGGGGAGAGGGGCUGGUGCGGGCGCGCCGACGUGCGUGUCUUGAAGUGGCUUAUUUUUAGUUGUGUUAUGUAAGUGGCUUCAGCUCCACGUCACGUCGGCAGGGGGGUCUCAGACUUAAUUACAGGAUGGCAGCCUUCGCUUCCCAGGCAAGCCGCUCUGCUGGCGAGGCGGCGCGGGGCGGCGAGCCCGUGCUGCCAGAAGGCGCCUCACCGCCAGCCCCGUGGCCGGCCUCCGCCACCUCGAGCCGCGUUUGGUGUGAGUGGGGGGCGCUGGGACGGGGGGGGGGGCAUUUGUGCCUCCCCUGCGGCUUCUCUUCCGCCCAAUCAGAACCCCUCUUCCCUGUCCUGCCCCUGGAUUAAAGCAACCGGGAAGCUCAGAGCCGCAGGGCUGCGGGGCCUGCGGGCAGAGCCGGGAGGGAGGCUCAGGUCCACCCGCUGCGCCCCGGCCCUGGACGGGCUCCAGACGUGGACGUGGGGGCCUGCGGCUGGGGGAAGGGUGGGGGUGACUUCCUGCUGGGCUCGGGGCCCUCAGGAGGGGGAAGCUGUGCAAGCUGGCCUCAGCCAGCGGCUGCGGCAUCGCCAGGGAGACGCCCGCGUGGCUGUGCCUGUCGGGGAGGGCGCGCUGCUCCUGCCCCAACGUGACCGCCAUCUUUCCUUUUCUUCCUUUUUUAAGAUUUCUUUAUUUGAAAGAGCGCUUCCAUCUGCUGGUUCACUCCCCAGAUGGCCACAACGGCCAGGGCUGGGCCAGGCCGAAGCCAGGAGCUUCCGGGUCUCCCACUGGGUGCCGGGGCCCAAGCACUUGGGCCAUCUUCCGCUGCCUCCCAGGGCAUUAGCAAGGAGCUGGAAGUGGAGCAGCCGGGACUCCAACAGGUGCCCACACGGGAUGUCGGCGUCCCAGGUGGCGGCUUCACCGGCCCCAUUACCCCCGUGUCGCCUCGAGAAAAGCAUCAGACCUCAGUGGAGGAACCGUCCAGACCCCGGCCCAGCACCGCUCGCGCCUGCCAGGGUCACCCAAAACAAGGACGGCGUGAGACACCGUGGCAGCCCGGAGGGGCCCUGGCUGUCCUGCAGGGUCCUGGGCAGAAGGGGCGUCCGGGGACCGAAGAGCUCUGAGCAAUGCCCGGGCCUCGUCGGGGUUGGCUCGUUAGUCGCCACCAGUGGCGCAGCCGACAGCAAGACGGGGUGGGGGGAGGUCUGGGGGAGGGUCUGGGGUGGGGUGGCGCCUGGCACAAGCCCCCAGCGCAGCCUGCAGGAUCCCAGGCCUUGUGGCCCCCGCCGUGGAACCCUCUGUCCACUGUGGGGUCAGUGGAUGAGCAGCUGGCCCUGCGGCCCGGCGCUGUAGGGCAGGGAGCACCCUGCGGCGGGCACCGGCCACGUGGCCCAGCCUGCAGCCCCACUCCAGCACCCCCAGCAGAGUCCCGGCCGCGGCCCUGUGGCUCUGCCUCCUGCUGCCGGGUGGGGACCCUCACGUCCCUCCUUGUCUCCUGUGGGCUGACAGGGCUCAGGGCCUGGCUUCUUUGUGGCCACAGCGUUCACCCUGUUGGUGGCCGCAGCGCCCCGAGCGCCCUGGUGAGCGGUCGGGGAGGCGGCCUCCCCCAGCCUGCCCUGCCGCUGGGGUGGGUGAGGAGACGUUCCCCGGCAACCAGCCCCUUAUGUAACGCAGGCGCCCGUGGGAGGCACGCGGGGCGAGCGUCUUACUCGGCUGUUUCUCCCCCGUGUGAGUGUGGAGCCGGCGUCACCCUGCGGCUGCCGGCUCGGUCACCCACGUGCUCGCCGCCGCUGCAGACUGAAAUACCUGCGGCAGGUGACAUGCCGCGGGGAACCCCUUCCUGCCAGCACCCCCGGUGUGAGGUGUGCGGCCCGCGUGUAGGGCCCGAGGCUGAGCUUGGGGUGGGGGCGUGGGCCGAAACUGCCCACUGGGAGGCUGGGGUGGGGUGGGCAGGCUUGCACAGGUGCCCCGUCGGGGCGAGGACCCCGGAGCUGCUGCUGGGGGUGGGGUGGGCAGGCUGCGUGCACCUGCGCCUGGUGGCCCUGGGGUGCUGCGGCUCCCGGGCGGGGACGGCUCUCACUCGCGCUCAGGCAGUGCGUGCUCGGCUGAGGCCCCCUGACGGCCCUGGGCAGCCUCUGGAUGGGCGCUGGGCCUGCGCCCCUGGACUGCCCGUCGUCCACGCGCGGCCAGGGAGGUGAGCCCCGCGCUGCCCGUCCACGUGCGGGCAGGCAGGUGAGCCCCGCGCCCCGCACCGCCCGUCCACACGCGGCCAGGGAGGUGAGCCCCGCGCCCCGCGCCGCCCGUCCACGCGUGGCCAGGGAGGUGAGCCCCGCGCCCCGCGCCGCCCGUCCACACGCGGCCAGGGAGGUGAGCCCCGCGCCCCGCCCCGCCCUUCCACACGCGGCCAGGGAGGUGAGCCCUGCGCCGCCUGUCCACGUGUGGCCAGGGAGGUGAGCCCCGCGCCCCGCGCCGCCCGUCCACGCGUGGCCAGGGAGGUGAGCCCCGCGCCCCGCGCCGCCCGUCCACACGCGGCCAGGGAGGUGAGCCCCGCGCCCCGCGCCGCCCGUCCACACGCGGCCAGGGAGGUGAGCCCCGCGCCCCGCGCCGCCCGUCCACGUGUGGCCAGGGAGGUGAGCCCCGCGCCCCGCGCCGCCCGUCCACGCGCGGGCAGGCCCGGCCGCGUACACUGUUCCUGAGCAGACGCCUCCCCCGGGGGGGCUGCCUGCUUCUAAUUUCAGCUGCGGGAGGCUCCUUGCUCACUCUCACUCUCACUCCUUUUUAAUCCCAUGUUUAUUUAAAGCCAGAUUUUGAAAUGCCGUCUGCAGCCCUGAAAUCUGACGGCUUCUACAGAGGAUCCGAGAGCGCAGCCAGAACCCCAGUGCCCGCGGCGCGUGGACGGGCGCGGGGGCACCGCCCUGGUCCCCAGCUGAGCUGACGGAGGAGCGGGGGUGGGCGGAGCCGCACUCCCCACCCUGGCCUGGGACCCACUGCGCCCUGCCCUGGAGGGUACUGAAGCAUCAGGCGACCCUUGUGGCCGAGGCACAUCCCCCCGAGACAGGUCGGGGCACAGCCGUGGGAACCGCCCGGAGCCCUGGGGUGCGUGGCAGCAGCCGGCCGAGAGCCACACGUGCUGCCUCCUGCUCGCUGGGAAGUCAGUGCCAGUGGCGCAGGGGGAAGAGCCCCAGCCCGCAGUGCCAGCAUCCCACCAGCGCGCUGGUUCGAGUCCCAGCUGCUCCACUUCCCAGCCAGCUCUCUGCUGUUGCACCGGGAAGCCGCUGGAAGACGGCUCAGUCCUUGGGCCCUGCACCCACACAGGAGACCCUGAAGAAGCUCCUGGCUCCCGGCUUUGGGUCAGCGCAGCUCUGGCUGUCAUGGCCAUCUGGGGAGUGAACCUGCAGUGGAAAAUCGAUCUCUCUUUUCUCCGUGUUUCUCAGUCUUUCUGUAACUCGGUCAUUCAAGUAAAUAAAAUAUUAAAAAAACG
This is a non-coding RNA of Oryctolagus cuniculus (rabbit), 5178 nucleotides long. The record is from RefSeq and is a predicted model, not a curated record. NCBI's taxonomy places the organism in Eukaryota, Metazoa, Chordata, Mammalia, Lagomorpha, Leporidae.